Molecule: non-coding RNA, 72 nt
Organism: Megalops atlanticus (tarpon)
Lineage: Eukaryota; Metazoa; Chordata; Actinopteri; Elopiformes; Megalopidae
Source: the annotation of a GenBank genome assembly
GGCAGUGUAGCACAGUGGUAAGGCUCGGGGCUCGUAACCAAAAGUUUGCUGGUUCGAUUCCCUGCUUGGAUA